GUGGGGGUAGUCGAGCGGUCUAAGAUACCCGGUUGUGGCCCGGGAGAACGCUGGUUCAAAUCCAGCCCCUCACU
Molecule: transfer RNA, 74 nt
Filed under: Anaerolineae bacterium
Lineage: Bacteria; Bacillati; Chloroflexota; Anaerolineae
Description: tRNA-His
Rfam family: tRNA
About the family: Transfer RNA (tRNA) molecules are approximately 80 nucleotides in length.
Source: RNAcentral